This 640-nucleotide ribosomal RNA is filed under the name Edwardsiella tarda. RNAcentral's name for it is "bacterial SSU rRNA". It matches the Rfam family "Bacterial small subunit ribosomal RNA", at positions 798 to 1439 of the family's 1533-position model. Lineage: Bacteria; Pseudomonadati; Pseudomonadota; Gammaproteobacteria; Enterobacterales; Hafniaceae. The record is from RNAcentral.
GGCCGUUACGAUGUCGAUUUGGAUGUUGUGCCCUUGAGGCGUGGCUUCCGAAGCUAACGCGUUAAAUCGACCGCCUGGGGAGUACGGCCGCAAGGUUAAAACUCAAAUGAAUUGACGGGGGCCCGCACAAGCGGUGGAGCAUGUGGUUUAAUUCGAUGCAACGCGAAGAACCUUACCUACUCUUGACAUCCAGCGAAUCCUGUAGAGAUACGGGAGUGCCUUCGGGAACGCUGAGACAGGUGCUGCAUGGCUGUCGUCAGCUCGUGUUGUGAAAUGUUGGGUUAAGUCCCGCAACGAGCGCAACCCUUAUCCUUUGUUGCCAGCGGUUCGGCCGGGAACUCAAAGGAGACUGCCAGUGAUAAACUGGAGGAAGGUGGGGAUGACGUCAAGUCAUCAUGGCCCUUACGAGUAGGGCUACACACGUGCUACAAUGGCGUAUACAAAGAGAAGCGAACUCGCGAGAGCAAGCGGACCUCAUAAAGUACGUCGUAGUCCGGAUUGGAGUCUGCAACUCGACUCCAUGAAGUCGGAAUCGCUAGUAAUCGUGGAUCAGAAUGCCACGGUGAAUACGUUCCCGGGCCUUGUACACACCGCCCGUCACACCAUGGGAGUGGGUUGCAAAAGAAGUAGGUAGCUUAAC